Molecule: long non-coding RNA, 412 nt
Filed under: Cyanistes caeruleus (blue tit)
Lineage: Eukaryota; Metazoa; Chordata; Aves; Passeriformes; Paridae
Description: lncRNA (ENSCCEG00000002498.1)
Source: RNAcentral
AUCAGGGGACCAGUGCCUGCAAUGCUCUUUCAAUAGCAUAUUUUUUACGUGUAUAUUAUUACAGGGGGAAUGAAUGUGUUUUUGUCCCAUGGAAAUGUCUUGGAAGAAAGGGAUGUGAUGAAAUUCUCUUCAGCCAGCCUUGUCUCAGUUUUCAGGGAGAAAACUCCCUGACUCUCAGAAUCUGCAGAUUGGGACUGGUCUUUUUACCUUUAUCACCUGCACAGUUGAAAGUUGGAAAUACUGAAUCCUAUUCCAGGCUGAGCCAACAAGAUUUUUAGAAGAAAUUGGUUGUUGAAGAAUUCCUGAAUUUCUUUGUCAAGAGCCUGCAAAUUAAAUUGAGUGAGGAAAUCUCUUCCUCACUUUACAUAACAAUUUAAAUAAACUAUUACGUGUCAAAUAAAACUUUUAUUAU